GAGUUUGAUCGUGACUCAGAGUGAACGCUGGCGGUAGGCCUAACACAUGCAAGUCGAACGGCAGCACAGAGGAGCUUGCUCCUUGGGUGGCGAGUGGCGGACGGGUGAGGAAUACAUCGGAAUCUACUCUGUCGUGGGGGAUAACGUAGGGAAACUUACGCUAAUACCGCAUACGACCUACGGGUGAAAGCAGGGGAUCUUCGGACCUUGCGCGAUUGAAUGAGCCGAUGUCGGAUUAGCUAGUUGGCGGGGUAAAGGCCCACCAAGGCGACGAUCCGUAGCUGGUCUGAGAGGAUGAUCAGCCACACUGGAACUGAGACACGGUCCAGACUCCUACGGGAGGCAGCAGUGGGGAAUAUUGGACAAUGGGCGCAAGCCUGAUCCAGCCAUACCGCGUGGUGAAAAA
This 406-nucleotide ribosomal RNA is filed under the name uncultured microorganism. Its description in RNAcentral is "bacterial SSU rRNA". It matches the Rfam family "Bacterial small subunit ribosomal RNA", at positions 9 to 411 of the family's 1533-position model. The record is from RNAcentral.